RNAcentral lists this ribosomal RNA (526 nucleotides) under uncultured bacterium. RNAcentral describes it as "bacterial SSU rRNA". It matches the Rfam family "Bacterial small subunit ribosomal RNA", at positions 777 to 1301 of the family's 1533-position model. The record is from RNAcentral.
AAUAGAUACCCAGGUAGUCCACGCCGUAAACGAUGAGUGCUAAGUGUUAGAGGGUUUCCGCCCUUUAGUGCUGCAGCAAACGCAUUAAGCACUCCGCCUGGGGAGUACGGCCGCAAGGCUGAAACUCAAAGGAAUUGACGGGGGCCCGCACAAGCGGUGGAGCAUGUGGUUUAAUUCGAAGCAACGCGAAGAACCUUACCAGGUCUUGACAUCUCCUGACAACCCUAGAGAUAGGGCGUUCCCCUUCGGGGGACAGGAUGACAGGUGGUGCAUGGUUGUCGUCAGCUCGUGUCGUGAGAUGUUGGGUUAAGUCCCGCAACGAGCGCAACCCUUGAUCUUAGUUGCCAGCAUUCAGUUGGGCACUCUAAGGUGACUGCCGGUGACAAACCGGAGGAAGGUGGGGAUGACGUCAAAUCAUCAUGCCCCUUAUGACCUGGGCUACACACGUGCUACAAUGGAUGGUACAAAGGGCUGCGAGACCGCGAGGCUAAGCGAAUCCCAUAAAACCAUUCUCAGUUCGGAUUGC